GGUUUUUAUUUUGUACUUUAAACCUUAAAUUUAUUUUUUAUAUUUUUUUAAUGUUCAUGUUUUUGAAUGUUUUAUUCAAAUAAUAGUAAAAAAUAAAAUAGAUAUUAGACAUGGAUUAGAACAAAAGAUAUAUAUUAUUUUAUGUUGCAUAAACAAAUUGGCAAAAUAGAGAUGGA
This 176-nucleotide unclassified non-coding RNA is filed under the name Borreliella valaisiana. Its description in RNAcentral is "partial rrf-rrl intergenic spacer". The record is from RNAcentral. Lineage: Bacteria; Pseudomonadati; Spirochaetota; Spirochaetia; Spirochaetales; Borreliaceae.